Molecule: long non-coding RNA, 595 nt
Filed under: Homo sapiens (human)
Lineage: Eukaryota; Metazoa; Chordata; Mammalia; Primates; Hominidae
Description: novel transcript
Source: RNAcentral
GCGAUGAGGAACAGCUGAUCACCUGUGGAAGUCAUUUGUCCUAAAUUGUCAUGGACAGACCAUGUGCCUUACAGCAAGAAAAUUCUGUGAAUAAACAGGAAGCCAGCCAGCCAGGGAAGAUGCUUUUGUGAUAUAUCCCAGCAUGCUGAUGACCCCAAGGAGGACCACUGGAUACCUAGCAAGGAGCUGGCUGCAGCAUACCAUGAAUCCUCACAGCAACUUAAUGAGAUUCUCCCAUUGAGAAGCAUUUCUGUGAGCUCUGGAAGUCAGGUGAAAAGGAGAAGUCAUAAUCUAUGGCAGCAGCUAUGGGAAGGAAAAAGAAGAACUGAUUGAAGAGUGGCAACCAGAACCUCUUGUUCCUCCUGUCCCAAAAGACCAUCCUGCUCUCAACUACAACAUCGUUUCAGGGUAAAUUGAUUUUGCUACCUGAAGUACUUGUAUUUGGCUUCUUGUAGUAACCUGCAGUCUAUAGUGCUUUAUAUGUAGUAGUCCUUUUUUAUCUGAAACAAAACAUUUUGAAGUUCCCAGGAGUAACAGCUUUAGCUCCUGAUUUUAAAAAAUUUAUUCUAGGGGUGAUACAGGCAUUUUUUAAAAU